This is a long non-coding RNA of Zeugodacus cucurbitae (melon fly), 3063 nucleotides long. RefSeq lists it as uncharacterized. The record is from RefSeq and is a predicted model, not a curated record. The transcript has 3 exons. NCBI's taxonomy places the organism in Eukaryota, Metazoa, Arthropoda, Insecta, Diptera, Tephritidae.
UUCUCUUUUUGGUUUUAAUUAUUUUGUUUUUACGAAUUGCUUUCAUUUUUGACAUUGUUUCUUGUUCUGCCACCCGCCGACCGACCGAAAAGCCAUUAGCUGGCACUAGCUACUAUACCCCCAAUCUUGAUGUUUUUCAUUUACUUUUGUUUUUACUUCUUGUUUUGGCACAAGCAAUCCAAAAAUGUUUCGAAUUGAGUAAUUAUUAUGCAAAGGGAGGCGUGCGCGCUCGAAUACAAGCUCUUUACAACAGCAACAACAAAAAGCAUACAAAAAGUAUAACAGAAGCACAACGCCAGCUGUAAGUACUUUGGCACUGCUUUGUAUGCAUGCUAAUAGUUGCUGUCGGGUGGUAGCAGAGAGUAUGCCUUUGCUUGAAUGCUUUUGAGGGUGGUCGCAUCUGUCUGCUUAAGGCGAAAGUAGAAAUCACAGACAUUGAAUUAAAUUUCAAUCAGCCACGCUGAUAAGCGCGCUUAUUAAAACAAAAUACGAAGAAGAUGAAUAAACGAAGGAAGGCGGCAAGGCACACUUAAGAGUCAGCAGCGGAAGAUAACAAGUGGCUGUGAGGACAUCAAUGGAAGCGUCUUCAAUCGAAUUCGUCUGCAAUCGAACGGAAAUUGGUAAAUUCGGAGUACGGAAAUGAAAAUGAGAGUGCAAUAUUGAAUGAAGCGGAGCAAGCUGCUUAACAUAUUGGUUUAUUCAAUUUAUUGACAUAGCCAGGUUAUGCAGCUUACGACAAGUGGCUCAAAUAUGAAAUCCUUAUAAGUUGUGUUGUUGCUGUUGUACCGACAUAAGAUAUUCCGUCUUAAGCAGCAAAGGACGAUCUCUCAAUCUAUAUUCUGAAAGGACGAUCAUGUCGCGGCGUUUGGACGGCGAACGUUUUUUAAACACACCAAAGUGGUUUCAAACGUCAAGAUUUUGCAGAAACUCUCCAUUAGGUGCCUCAGGCGUCACUUUAUGACAUGUAGAGUUGACAUUCUGUUUAUUACGCAGUAGUAACCUUUAAAUGAGAAUAUUAUACUAAUUCACUGGUUACACUAGUUAGGUAGAAUCCUUUAGUAGACAAUACGAGACGUCACGUGAUGGUAUACGCAACUACUAUUUGACAAAUCUCAUGCAACUAGCUUUUUCACAGUGACCUAACAUUAGAAAGUACCGACCGACCAAUGGUUUAAACAUUAUCAGACACACACUUAACCGUUUUAUUCGAUUUUCAAAUGCUAUUAAUAUACCAAUUAGAUUCCUUCAUGUGGAAAUUCCAGCACAGAAAUAUUAUAAAAGCAAAAAUAACGAUAUCAUUACACAUUCACUAAGCAACAGUUGAGUCGAGCAAUAAAUACAGAAUAAACACGUUGCAAUAGGAAGAGCUAUUAAUAUGAAAAAAAAGAAACGAAUAAAGCAUAGAAUAAAUAAUUGAACUAGCACACUAUGUAUCGUAGUAUAUCGGAAAAGCCACCCUUAACUCCAAAUGACUCCUUCCAAUACAGCCAGACAGCUGCCAUUAGCGCAUGCAAACACAACUCACUCUUGUGCCCGCGUUAUUUUGAAGAACACCUCAGCAAUCAACUGCAAUUAACUGAUACAAAUAAAAGAACAACACAAGCGUAUAAGGACAACGUAACAACAAUGUGAAUGUCGAUAGUAAGGAUGUUAAGUGACGAAGAAGGAAGCAAAAGCAACCGAAUAAUGAACGGUAUGAGCGCCAAGCGGCAGACGGUAGCGCACACACACAAGUGGAUAAGGGAGAAAAAUCAUUCAGACGAUAAGUAGUCAAAGUUGGUGUAGUAAGCGGUGGAGCAUGGAAGCUAGUAGACGACUCAACAAACAAACACAGAGCGAUGAUGAUGAAAGCAGUAGCAACAUGGAAACAGUGCGUAAUAUUCCGGCAAGUGAGUGUAGGAACUCAUACAGAGUGUGUUUUGUGCGCUAGGUCUCAUCUGGAAUUUUGUGCUCAAUUGAAAUGAUGGCACUGGCGCUUCAUACUGCUGCUGCUGAUGUUGAUAGUGUUGUUUGUAUAUUUAGUUAUAUUACAAAAACAUCCCUACUGAUGUAUUUGCACGAGUUCAGCUCGGCAACUGGCCAAGUAGCUAUGUAUUAGGAUGUUUCUACGCCUGACAUUGCGGUCGCCCGUUUACUUGGUUAUGCGUGUACAGCGGAAACGGAAAUAGUAGUAAGCUGAUAAAAAAUACGAUGCGCACAAAACGUAGACGGGAAAGAUGUGGACCAAAAUGUGAAAGUGUUGUUAGUGUUUCAACCAGCAACAAUAUGCAAUACUAAAGAAUGAAAAACAUAGUAGAUGAAGUAAAAUGGGAAAAAUGAUUGAUACUCAGCAUUUUGAAAGCAGACGAGUUUUGAGGGUUGAAAUGUGUUCACAUAGUUUGGAGUGCUUGGAUGGUAGACAGAAUGACUUAAGUAUGAACGAGUUUUAAAGUGAGACAGCAAAACAGGUGUUGCUUGUAUUGAAAAUAAUUCCUUCUACUAUGUAGUAUAUUUAUUUGUUAAAGAGGAAAAGCUUCAAUUCUUAAAAUGAUUUUGAUAUCUAUUAACAUAUCGAGAUCAACUUAAAUAUUUUGUAAUAUAAAAUUUAACAGAUUAUAGAACUUGUUUAAUGACACACAUUUUUACAAGCUAGAAUAUUUGUUCUUUCUAAACAGAAAAGCCGGAUCACCAUUAGUUUUUAGUUACUUUGAAAGCAGGUUGGCAACACCUGGACACAACUACACGAAAUUGUUUAUAGAAAAAUUAAUAAAAAAAAACUUGUUAUCUUCAUAAGUACAUAUAUAAAUAUGUCACUAUGAAAAUUAUACUGGCUCACAAAAACUGUUUUUAUGAAAGACAACAUUUAUGUUAAUAUACACAAUCUAAAAAACAAUAAAAUGCUUAUUGUCUUCUUUUAAGUAAAACGAAAAAAUUUGCUUAUGGAACACAACACGAAAGCGAUAACUUGUGACCGCAUAGGAGUUUGUAAUGGCAAAGGGCUGUUGCUGAUAUGCCGUCAUGGACACUAAAACCACAAACAUAAGUAUAUAUAAAAACAUAUGUAUGUAUGUACAAAAUUUUACC